UACGGAGGGUGCAAGCGUUAUCCGGAUUCACUGGGUUUAAAGGGUGCGUAGGUGGGUUGGUAAGUCAGUGGUGAAAUCUCCAGGCUUAACUUGGAAACUGCCAUUGAUACUAUCAAUCUUGAAUACCGUGGAGGUCAGCGGAAUAUGUCAUGUAGCGGUGAAAUGCUUAGAUAUGACAUAGAACACCAAUUGCGGAGGCAGCUGGCUACACGAAUAUUGACACUCAGGCACGAAAGCGUGGGGAUCAAACAGG
Molecule: ribosomal RNA, 253 nt
Filed under: uncultured bacterium
Lineage: Bacteria
Description: partial 16S ribosomal RNA
Rfam family: Bacterial small subunit ribosomal RNA
Source: RNAcentral